UACGGGGGGGCAAGCGUUGUUCGGAAUUACUGGGCGUAAAGAGCGCGCAGGCGGCCGAGUAAGUCGAAUGUGAAAGCCCCCGGCUCAACUGGGGAAGGUCAUUCGAUACUGUUCGGCUUGAAGAUAGGAGAGGGAAGCGGAAUUUCAGGUGUAGUGGUGAAAUGCGUAGAUAUCUGAAGGAACACCAGUGGCGAAGGCGGCUUUCUGGCCUAUUCUUGACGCUGAGGCGCGAAAGCUAGGGGAGCGAACGGG
Molecule: ribosomal RNA, 252 nt
Filed under: uncultured bacterium
Lineage: Bacteria
Description: partial 16S ribosomal RNA
Rfam family: Bacterial small subunit ribosomal RNA
Source: RNAcentral